RNAcentral lists this ribosomal RNA (350 nucleotides) under uncultured bacterium. Its description in RNAcentral is "bacterial SSU rRNA". It matches the Rfam family "Bacterial small subunit ribosomal RNA", at positions 8 to 351 of the family's 1533-position model. The record is from RNAcentral.
AGAGUUUGAUCCUGGCUCAGGAUGAACGCUAGCUACAGGCUUAACACAUGCAAGUCGAGGGGAAACGACAUCGAAAGCUUGCUUUUGAUGGGCGUCGACCGGCGCACGGGUGAGUAACGCGUAUCCAACCUGCCCAUCACUUGGGGAUAACCUUGCGAAAGUAAGACUAAUACCCAAUGACGUCUCUAGAAGACAUCUGAAAGAGAUUAAAGAUUUAUCGGUGAUGGAUGGGGAUGCGUCUGAUUAGCUUGUUGGCGGGGUAACGGCCACCAAGGCGACGAUCAGUAGGGGUUCUGAGAGAAGGUCCCCACAUUGGACUGAGACACGGUCCAAACUCCGACGGGAGGCCA